GAAGCUCGUCGUUCGCCUAAAAAAUCAUUUUUUUUCUAGGUGGACCACUUAAUUAAGAGGUCCACCUGCAAAAAACAUGCCUACUGAAAAAAAAAUUUAAGUCCUAUCCUUAUCUUCUCCUCCAGCAUCUUAUCCUCUCCACCACUCAUUGCCCUCACUCUCCUCUCUCUCUCUCUCAUUUCCCUCUGGCUACCUCCCCUCCCCUCCCAGAUCUGGCGGAGGGGAGGGGCGUCGGCAGUGGCGCAGGAAGAGGGGGCGGUGGCGGUAGCGUCGGCGUUGGCGCGGCCGGAUGGGAGGUGUGGCUCCCCUCCCUCUCCUCUCCCUCAACUCUACUCUCCUCCGCCGCCGGCCACGAUGACGACGAAGCCGACUGCGACGACGACGCUGUCUGGAUCCGCCGCCGCCUGGAUUCAGGGAGGGGAGGCGGCAGCGCAGCCGGAGGGGGUGUCGGCGGCGGCGCUGCCGAACAGGAGGUGUGGCUCCCCUCCCUCUCCUCUCCCUCAGCUUUACUCUCCCUCCGCGGCCGGCCGCAACAACAACAACGACGACGACGAUGCCACCGCCGCCUGGAUCCAGGGUGGGAAGGGAGGCCACCAUCGGCCGGAGGGGGAGGCCGGCGGUGCCGCCGGGGGGUUGGGGUGGUGGCGGCGGAUUUCGCUAAAAAUAUUUUUGCAGGCGGGUGUAUCUACCGCCGGCCAAAAUGAUUUUCGUAGGCGGACCGCUUGGCCGCCUGCGAAAGUCAUAUAUUUUCGCAAGCCUUUGCGUACAGGCGGUUCUUUCCCCUGCCUGGAAAAACUAUUUUUGGCCGCCUAGAAAAACGUUUUUUCUAGUAGUGAUUGUUGUCGUCCUCGUCAUCGCCAUCAUUGCUCGAAGCCGCUGCCGUUGUUGUCACCAUCCUUGUCCUCAUCCUCCUCCUCAUCAUCGGGUGUAGGGGCGGGCGGGAUCCGCGCGGGAGAAGAAAGGGGUGCCAGUUCCGCUCCUCACGUUGCCACCGCCACAUCAUAGGGGCUGGAUCCGUCGCUGCCAAGUCUCCACAGUGCCAGAUCCGCCGCCACCAAGCCUCCCCACCGCCGCCACUAAGUCUCUCGACCUGCACCACCUGAUCAUCCCCUCUCGAGGCCAGCCGGCUGUGGAUCCGCGAGGGAGGCAGCGAGGCCCAUCCGCCGUCACCGUCGCUGACCUCCUCCGCCGCCACCGGAUCCGCCCCUAUCGUGGCCAACUGGUUGCAGAUCCAACCUCUUCAUUGACCUGCCGUAUGAAAUAGAAAACACAAUAUAAGACCCAAAAUGCCGAGUAGUGAGCAAAGGAGAUCAUAGAUGAAAUAGCUUGAUAGUCAACUUUAACCUAAGAUUUGCCCGUCAAACCACUGUAACACUGUAAGUAGUGACCGAAUGUGUUAUAUAUGCCAGGGACUUGACUCAAAAUGCUAAAUUUCACGAUCAUCUCAAUUGCUCAAAACCGUUAGUCCGUUACUCAUGAUCAGCUAGCCCAAGGAAGUUACUGGCUUCAUACUUUCGUCUUAGCCAAGAUAUCAAAACUCGUACAACUUAGAAACCACUAGAUACAUAUAGCUAAAUCAUAUAUAUACGGUCGACCAGCCAAUAGUAAAGGUUCAGCAGAAAGUAUGUCUACCUUAGUUAGAACCGUCUUAAUGAUCAACCGUUCUAGCAUCACUCAAACAUAAGCAACAAAUCUAUUCUAUCAAUUAGCAUUUGUGAGUUAUGAAUUUUCCAUGUUCUAUGUUAGUUAUACGUUAUUUAAGUUAAACUUAAUUCUUAGUGUAGUUUAUAUCUAAGUUCAUGUUAACGCCAAAAUUUAGUUAGAUUCUUUAGUGGGUUCGGUUAAGGAAAGAGCACAAUCAGCCGAUGGAAAUCUUAUCCAGAAGAGUCCGAGUUCAAAAAGGAAUCAUGGGGACCAUGACAUGGCAGCUUAAUUUAUCUAUUAAUUAGGCAAGUUUUGAUUUUAGAAAAGUUUGGGUCAUGUCCAAUGAGGACUUUAUAUUUUUCCUUUUAUCUUUAGAAAAGUUUGUUUAGUGUCCGAUCAGGACUCAUAUCUACCCAUGGUUACAAAUAUGUACACUUGGGGUCUCUGUAAAGUAUAUCCAGAUCAAUACAACUUCGGCGCAUAGCCACCCUUUUUAUUUUCGUCUUUGUUGACGAGUUCUUGUUUCGAAUUGGGCUACAUCGGCUUUGAUCUCCGACGAGGAGUAAGGCUUGUUAUGGCUGUUUAUAUUGGCGGGGCUAGGGCCUCGACAUUCUAAUCUUGUCGAUGUAAACACCUAUUUAUAAUAUAUCUCAGUUAAUCUAAGUUGAUGUCUCAAUUUACCUGUAUCGUCUAGAUCUUUAGUAGGGUUUUGUUGGUAUCAGUUAAAUUGUUUUAUCGAUCCAGAUUAGCUAAGGUAUCCACCACCCUGAAAAUCAGUCAAAGACUUGAUUGUUUAGAUUUUAUGUUUCUUUUCAUACUUAGUGCUGCAUCAAUUGAGUUUGACAUACUAAGUCAUGCUUAGAAUCAUAGAAACUAACUUGCCAAUAAGGGUUUCAUCGGGGUUUCACACCCGGAGAUUUCUCCUUUCCCUUAGUUUUUAAUUCUUUAAUAAAUCUCUCGAAGAAAACAUUCUGUCUAACCUGGAGCAAACCUCAAUUUAAUAAUGCACGUUAUAAUCAGAAUUGCCAUGGGAAUGUUUUUUGGUAGGGAUGAAAACGGAUCGAAUACGGUCGGAAACUAGCUCUACCAUAUUCGUUUUCAUAAUUUUUUUUGGAAUCGAAAUCGGAAUCAGAAACCCGGAUAUGAAAACGGAAUCGAAUAUUAUCGAAUACAAAUACGGAGCGAAUACGAAGCGAAACAAAUACGGUGACGAAUAUUAAUCGGAAUAUAAAAACCUCUCACUACUCACAAACGAUUUUUGAUAUUGUGUUUCUAAAAUCAUGCUCUAUCAUGUUAUUGUGUUUUUACCGCUAUUAUUUUGGCAAUUUUUUCGUGACUUUGUUUUAUCAAUUAAAAAUUUGAAUUUCAAAACUUCAAAUGAUAUUUUGAAGCAGUAAAUAAAUUCAGCUAAAAAAGUCAUGAACAUAAAAGUUGUAGAACUCAUCAAGACAUACAACUUUUAUUUUGGUCAUUUCUUCAUCCGACAAAAUGAUAGUAACAUUGUUCACAAAACUUACCUCUCUCAUUUAGUUUGUAAAACUAAAUGAGAGAGAUGUAAAUUUUGUGAACAAUGUUAUUAUCACUUUGUCGGAUGAAGAAAUGACCAAAAUAAAAGUUAGAGAUCUUGAUGAUUUAUAAACUUUGUUGUUGAUGACUUUUUUAGUUGAAAUCAUUUAAUAUUUGAAAAUGUUGUUUGAAGUUAUCAUAUUUUCAAAUUCAAAUUCAAAUUGUUCAAACAAAGUCAUAUAGAAAAAUGAUCAAAAAUAAAAGUUAUAGAUCUUGAUAAGUUAUACAACUUUAUUUUUGACAAUUUUUCCAUUUGAAAUCAUUUACUACCCGAAAUAUUUUUUUGAAUUUCUUACAUUUUAGAAUUCAAAUUUUAUAUAGUUCAAUCAAACUCGGAUGAAGAAAUGACCAAAAUAAAAUUGGUAGAUCUCACUGAGUUCUACAACUUUGCUUUUGACAACUUUUUCAUAUGAGUUCAUUUAGUGUCAUAAAAUUCAAUUCGAAUUUAUUUUUUCCAAGAAGUCUGAUUUGCCUCCUCUUUGGGUUGGGCCGGCUUAUGGGCCUUAUGUGUAAGUCGGAUAUCCGAUGGAAAAUACCGGAUAAUAUCCGAUUCCGACGGAUAUCACCUAUAUCAUAUUCGUUUUCACAUCCGAAAAAAAAUAUCCGAAUUCGUUUCCGAAUUCGAAAAUUUCCGGAUAUAUCCGACCGAAACUAUCCGAAUCCGAAAAAAGAUCCGGUCGGACGGAAAUUAUCCGAAUCACUUUCAACCCUACUAAUAGGAGUUUCAGAUGAAUAUUCAAGGCAGAGGAAGAAACCCCGUUAACCUAAUAAAAAUCAUCAAGGUUCAAUCCAAUUAAUUCAUUGCUCUGCCGGUGGUUCGCCGCACCAUCGUUUCCUUGUUGUUUUUGGCUUCGCCCUGUGUUCACGGGUCGAGUCCUGUCUUAUUCCAAUUCCGUCGCCGUUUUCCUUUCCUUUCCUAAAAUGGCACCGCCUCCUUGUCCUCUCCCUCUACCGCCUCUCCUCCCCCUGCCGCCACCCCAGCCGCGCGCUGCGCCCCACCAAAUCCUACCACCACCCUAGCUGCCCCUCUCCACCUCUCCCAUGCCGUGCCGCCGUCUCCCCGCCACCGGAUCGCUGCAGCCAUCAUCGUCUCCCGUGAGCCCUCUCCUUCCCCUUAUCCCUCGCCGAUAUGGUUCACCGUCGAGUUACCUCAUCUAAUCUAAAAUAUCCAUGUUUCCCUAGUUGUCGUCAUCGCCGUCCGUGUGUUCCCGCCGGAUCGCCGCCAUCGUCGCUCCUCCACCGGUCGCCGUUGUUUCCAGGUGAGGUAUCCUUUUGUUUCACCUCUUUGUUUUGUGUGUCGCCGUCACGGUACCGCCAUUGCCGGCGCUUGCCGAGCCACCGCGCCACUGCGGCCGCCUUGCUGCGCCGCUGCCCUAGCGUCGCCUCCGCCGCCGCUGCCUUGCCGCGCCUGCCGUGUCGCGCCGCCUGACCGCGCCGUGCCACCACUGCCCUAGCCGCAGCCGGCCGCAGCCCUUGCCGCCUGCCGCGUCCGCUGUCGCUGCCGACCAUCUUGCCGUCGCGUGCCGGCCCAUAUCGGCGAGGCGGCCUUGCCUCGCCGUGCCACGUCUUGCCGCAUGCCAUGUAGUGUAUUGCUGUGUCAUCCCAGUUCGGUCAAGCCGAGUCGGUAAAACCCUAGAGUCCUUCGGUUGGUUCCGUGACCCACCCAAGCCGCCGGUUUUGUUCACUGGUUCGGUGGAUCGUUUGUGUGGUCCUGUGCCACGGUAGGUCGAUUCGUUGAGUCGUUGCUCCGUGGGGCUCAUCUACCGGGGUUCUAUUCCGUUAAUCUUGUCUGCACUCGGGCAUUAAUGUUUAAUAAUGGAAUAAGGUUACCGGUUAAUAGUAAUUACACAGUGCAUAUUGUAAAAUUCAUAUCUAAAUCAUUCGUGCUCCGUUUUAAUCCAUUCAAGUCUCAGUAAAUUCAUAAAAAUGUCUAGAAUCCAUUAAAAUGGUUCCUUUUGUUGUUUCAGUUGAUUUAUAGCAUGUUUGCUUGUGUGCCUUGUUUGUCGUAUAGAAUCCAACUGUUCUGACGCUCCCGUUUACUUCAGAGUGGUCACCGAAGUCCCGUCAGCUGAGGAGCAAAGCAAGUCAUACAUACAACAUUGAUCAUACUGAACCCUCUUUAUAAAAUCCCUUGCUUUCUAUUAAACUGCAUUGUUUUUAUAAUGUCGUGUGGGAUGGAUGCCUAUUGUACUCAGCCUAUUGUUGCCUUAUGCCUUGAUAACCUGGGUAAUGAAUUGAUUAGAUGAUUGGUUUAGGUGAUGCUUAGCCAUGCUUAGAUCAAUUAGCACACUAUGGGUUUCAUCUUAAUUUAGUCCUUAAUUUAAUGAUAUUGUACCAUCAUGGUAUUAAUUUAAUUAAACUAAAAUAUGCUUAAAUGGUGGGUCGUGGGUGCAUGGUUUUGCUAGUCACACCCAUGACAAUUAAGGACCGGUUCUCGGGAAACCCUGGAAGAAUUACCCGUACUUACCACAGGCCAGCGUGGGCUCCAGGCUGAAUUUGGAGCAUAGCUUAACCUAGCCAAUGUACCAAGGCAAGGGUGGGCGUGAUGGAGUAGGACGGAUCGUGCUACGGUCUUUGUUGCUUCCAGAUUCACCUAGGCACAAGAGGGGACUGUCCGCUGCCUAUUGAGGAGUGGGGGGUGAAACUUGAGGUGCGUACGAUUGGUUAGCGAGAGUUAUGUGAAGGGUUCUAUCAUAGUCUCUUUUCGAGAUACCGUGGUGGUAUUGAGGCGCAUGGUAACAUGUUGUGAGGCUGUGUCUUGUGGGUAAAGUUGCACACCUCUGAUCAGAGUAAAACUAUUCGAAUAGCCGCACCCGUGGUUAUGGACUGUCAACCAGAUUCACCGUGAUUAGUCUCAUCUUAAUAAAUGGAUGUGUUGAACUGAUUUAGUUCAGGUGGUUUGGUUGGGCCUGUUUCAACGUGGUUAAACGUUGGGCUGUGAUGUUAACAUUGAUUAAGCUAUAUCUACUUUUUACUAUGUUCAACUGGUGAUUUUAAAAUGCUUGCUUUUAUGCAAAUAUCCUAUAGCCUUUCCUUUGCUUUUACCUUGCAUCAUGCCUUCCUAUUGGUAUGACUUAUUGAGUACGGUGGGUGGUACUCAGUCUUGCUUUAUUUUUCCCCCAACCCUCAGAAGCAGAGAAUUAUUCAGAUCGAGAUUAUUUUGAGGAUUAGGCUUAUUCCGGAUAUUGAGGAUGCCUGUGGUUAUGGAGGAUGCUACGCUAUCAAGAAGAUCUUAGUUUAGAUUAUUCGAUAAUUUAUUUCCGCUGUAUAUGUAAGAAUCAUUUAUUAUUUUUUGUAAGACGUGGAUCUGUGUAUCAAUUUAUCGUUUGUGUACUCAGGCUGGUCUUGGACAAAGAAUUUAACACACAUUCUGCUUGAGAUUCGGGUUAGCGAAUUUCUAGGCGUGAUAGGGUUUCAGCCAACGAGUUAUCUGAAUGUUACGUCGGCUUACAAGGAUUAUAUACAAGUUGGUUUUAGCCGAUUGCAAUAAUGGUUUCACUGAUUAUCUAAUCAUGUGGAUUUAAUGACAUCGGAACACCAACCAACCGAUAUAUGCUUAACCUUCGGAUCAAGCAAUUAUUCUAUCAUAUCAUUAUUGAUUGAUUGGUUUUUAUUGGAUUAUAUUAUUAUUUUAUAACAUUAUCAUCAACCAAUUGUCUUUUUAUCAUUAUUUACUUAAGUGUUAGAAUCUACAUUGGAUAUAUAGCUGAUUGCUCAAAACUCUAUCGACAUCAGCUAGCAUUGCUAUAUCAGCUUAUUGCCUGAUCGGCUCUUAUUUGUACAUAUUGUCAGUUGCAGAAUCAGAUUGACCCGCACGUCCACAUCUCAUCAAUAUUUUGGACCUGCACUGGAGUAAGCAGAUCAACCAGGCCGUUGUGUUCGUCGACUUAGUCCGUGCCAACACAAAUCUGGUACCAUCGGCCGAGCACGGAUUUUGCGUCAAUAGUUUUUGAAGAUUUGGGGUACAGCAAUAAAGUGUGUGUUCUACUAAAUUCAACCAAGUUGAGUUUUCCAUUUUUAGACCUAGUAUCAAUUUCAUCAACGAUCAAUGAGCAGUACGGGGCCUAAACUCGUCACAAAUGUCAAGGAUACAUCAUUGCUAUAGAUAUUUCCAGUGUAAAACGUUAUCGGUCAAAAAUGAUAGUGGAAGUCUUGUACUUCCCGAUUUCGUACGAAUUUGAGGCAAACAUAUGUGUUGACUAAUAUAAUGGAAUGGACUUCCAUUGUCG
This 7439-nucleotide long non-coding RNA is filed under the name Oryza sativa (Asian cultivated rice). RNAcentral describes it as "long non-coding RNA (OSAT_LNC001833)". The stretch from base 3045 to 3315 matches the Rfam family "MIR821 microRNA precursor family". The record is from RNAcentral. Lineage: Eukaryota; Viridiplantae; Streptophyta; Magnoliopsida; Poales; Poaceae.